UACAGAGGUCUCAAGCGUUGUUCGGAUUCAUUGGGCGUAAAGGGUGUGUAGGUGGCGCCGUAAGUCGGGAGUGAAAUUUCGGAGCUUAACUCCGAAACUGCAUUCGAUACUGCGGUGCUUGAGGACUGGAGAGGAGACUGGAAUUCAUGGUGUAGCAGUGAAAUGCGUAGAGAUCAUGAGGAAGACCAGUGGCGAAGGCGGGUCUCUGGACAGUUCCUGACACUGAGACACGAAGGCCAGGGGAGCAAACGGG
Molecule: ribosomal RNA, 253 nt
Filed under: uncultured bacterium
Lineage: Bacteria
Description: partial 16S ribosomal RNA
Rfam family: Bacterial small subunit ribosomal RNA
Source: RNAcentral